Molecule: ribosomal RNA, 2916 nt
Filed under: Staphylococcus aureus
Lineage: Bacteria; Bacillati; Bacillota; Bacilli; Caryophanales; Staphylococcaceae
Description: 23S ribosomal RNA
Rfam family: Bacterial large subunit ribosomal RNA
Source: RNAcentral
GAUUAAGUUAUUAAGGGCGCACGGUGGAUGCCUUGGCACUAGAAGCCGAAGAAGGACGUUACUAACGACGAUAUGCUUUGGGGAGCUGUAAGUACGCUUUGAUCCAGAGAUUUCCGAAUGGGGAAACCCAGCAUGAGUUAUGUCAUGUUAUCCGCAUAUGAAUACAUAGUAUGUGAGAAGGCACACCCGGAGAACUGAAACAUCUUAGUACCCGGAGGAAGAGAAAGAAAACUCGAUUCCCUGAGUAGCGGCGAGCGAAACGGGAAGAGCCCAAACCAAUAGGCUUGCCUAUUGGGGUUGUAGGACACUCAAUACGGAGUUACAAAGGCACUGAGAAUCAUCUGGAAAGAUGAAUCAAAGAAGGUAAAGGUCCUGUAGUCGAAAAUCAUUUCUCUCCUGAGUGGAUCCUGAGUACGGCGGAACACGUGAAAUUCCGUCGGAAUCUGGGAGGACCAUCUCCCAAGGCUAAAUACUCUCUAGUGACCGAUAGUGAACCAGUACCGUGAGGGAAAGGUGAAAAGCACCCCGGAAGGGGAGUGAAAUAGAACCUGAAACCGUGUGCUUACAAAUAGUCAGAGCCCGUUAAUGGGUGAUGGCGUGCCUUUUGUAGAAUGAACCGGCGAGUUACGAUUUGAUGCAAGGUUAAGCAGUAAAUGUGGAGCCGUAGCGAAAGCGAGUCUGAAUAGGGCGAAUAGUAUCUGGUCGUAGACCCGAAACCAAGUGAUCUACCCAUGUCCAGGUUGAAGUUCAGGUAACACUGAAUGGAGGACCGAACCGACUUACGUUGAAAAGUGAGCGGAUGAGGUGUGGGUAGCGGAGAAAUUCCAAUCGAACUUGGAGAUAGCUGGUUCUCUCCGAAAUAGCUUUAGGGCUAGCCUCAAGUGAUGAUUAUUGGAGGUAGAGCACUGUUUGGACGAGGGGCCCCUCUCGGGUUACCGAAUUCAGACAAACUCCGAAUGCCAAAUAAUUUAACUUGGGAGUCAGACUAUGGGUGAUAAGGUCCGUAGUCGAAAGGGAAACAGCCCAGACCACCAGCUAAGGUCCCAAAAUAUAUGUUAAGUGGAAAAGGAUGUGGCGUUGCCCAGACAACUAGGAUGUUGGCUUAGAAGCAGCCAUCAUUUAAAGAGUGCGUAAUAGCUCACUAGUCGAGUGACACUGCGCCGAAAAUGUACCGGGGCUAAACAUAUUACCGAAGCUGUGGAUUGUCCUUUGGACAAUGGUAGGAGAGCGUUCUAAGGGCGUUGAAGCAUGAUCGCAAGGACAUGUGGAGCGCUUAGAAGUGAGAAUGCCGGUGUGAGUAGCGAAAGACGGGUGAGAAUCCCGUCCACCGAUUGACUAAGGUUUCCAGAGGAAGGCUCGUCCGCUCUGGGUUAGUCGGGACCUAAGCCGAGGCCGACAGGCGUAGGCGAUGGAUAACAGGUUGAUAUUCCUGUACCACCUCUUAUCGUUUGAGCAAUGGAGGGACGCAGAAGGAUAGAAGAAGCGUGCGAUUGGUUUGCACGUCCAAGCAGUUAGGCUGAUAAGUAGGCAAAUCCGGUACUCGUUAAGGCUGAGCUGUGAUGGGGAGAAGACAUUGUGUCUUCGAGUCGUUGAUUUCACACUGCCGAGAAAAGCCUCUAGAUAGAAAAUAGGUGCCCGUACCGCAAACCGACACAGGUAGUCAAGAUGAGAAUUCUAAGGUGAGCGAGCGAACUCUCGUUAAGGAACUCGGCAAAAUGACCCCGUAACUUCGGGAGAAGGGGUGCUUUUUAGGGUGCAAGCCUUGAAGAGCCGCAGUGAAUAGGCCCAAGCGACUGUUUAUCAAAAACACAGGUCUCUGCUAAACCGUAAGGUGAUGUAUAGGGGCUGACGCCUGCCCGGUGCUGGAAGGUUAAGAGGAGUGGUUAGCUUCUGCGAAGCUACGAAUCGAAGCCCCAGUAAACGGCGGCCGUAACUAUAACGGUCCUAAGGUAGCGAAAUUCCUUGUCGGGUAAGUUCCGACCCGCACGAAAGGCGUAACGAUUUGGGCACUGUCUCAACGAGAGACUCGGUGAAAUCAUAGUACCUGUGAAGAUGCAGGUUACCCGCGACAGGACGGAAAGACCCCGUGGAGCUUUACUGUAGCCUGAUAUUGAAAUUUGGCACAGCUUGUACAGGAUAGGUAGGAGCCUUUGAAACGUGAGCGCUAGCUUACGUGGAGGCGCUGGUGGGAUACUACCCUGGCUGUGUUGACUUUCUAACCCGCACCAUUUAUCAUGGUGGGAGACAGUGUCAGGCGGGCAGUUUGACUGGGGCGGUCGCCUCCUAAAGAGUAACGGAGGCGCUCAAAGGUUCCCUCAGAAUGGUUGGAAAUCAUUCGCAGAGUGUAAAGGCACAAGGGAGCUUGACUGCGAGACCUACAAGUCGAGCAGGGUCGAAAGACGGACUUAGUGAUCCGGUGGUUCCGCAUGGAAGGGCCAUCGCUCAACGGAUAAAAGCUACCCCGGGGAUAACAGGCUUAUCUCCCCCAAGAGUCCACAUCGACGGGGAGGUUUGGCACCUCGAUGUCGGCUCAUCGCAUCCUGGGGCUGUAGUCGGUCCCAAGGGUUGGGCUGUUCGCCCAUUAAAGCGGUACGCGAGCUGGGUUCAGAACGUCGUGAGACAGUUCGGUCCCUAUCCGUCGUGGGCGUAGGAAAUUUGAGAGGAGCUGUCCUUAGUACGAGAGGACCGGGAUGGACGCACCGCUGGUGUACCAGUUGUUCUGCCAAGGGCAUAGCUGGGUAGCUAUGUGCGGAAGGGAUAAGUGCUGAAAGCAUCUAAGCAUGAAGCCCCCCUCAAGAUGAGAUUUCCCAUCGUAAGCUAUAAGAUCCCUGAAAGAUGAUCAGGUUGAUAGGUUCGAGGUGGAAGCAUGGUGACAUGUGGAGCUGACGAAUACUAAUAGAUCGAGGACUUAAUCAA